Molecule: ribosomal RNA, 431 nt
Filed under: uncultured bacterium
Lineage: Bacteria
Description: partial 16S ribosomal RNA
Rfam family: Bacterial small subunit ribosomal RNA
Source: RNAcentral
CGAACGCUGGCGGCAUGCCUAACACAUGCAAGUCGACCGAGACCUUCGGGUCUAGUGGCGCACGGGUGCGUAACGCGUGGGAACCUGCCUUUAGGUUCGGAAUAACUCAGAGAAAUUUGAGCUAAUACCGGAUGAUGUCUUCGGACCAAAGAUUUAUCGCCUUUAGAUGGGCCCGCGUUGGAUUAGCUAGUUGGUGGGGUAAAGGCCUACCAAGGCGACGAUCCAUAGCUGGUCUGAGAGGAUGAUCAGCCACACUGGGACUGAGACACGGCCCAGACUCCUACGGGAGGCAGCAGUGGGGAAUAUUGGACAAUGGGCGAAAGCCUGAUCCAGCAAUGCCGCGUGAGUGAUGAAGGCCUUAGGGUUGUAAAGCUCUUUUACCCGAGAUGAUAAUGACAGUAUCGGGAGAAUAAGCUCCGGCUAACUCCGUG